UGGGGAAUCUUGCACAAUGGGGGCAACCCUGAUGCAGCGACGCCGCGUGAGCGAUGAAGCCCUUCGGGGCGUAAAGCUCUUUCGACCGGAACGAUAAUGACGGUACCGGGAGAAGAAGCUGCGGCUAACUACGUGCCAGCAGCCGCGGUAAUACGUAGGCAGCAAGCGUUGUUCGGAGUUACUGGGCGUAAAGAGUGCGUAGGCGGUUUUCUAAGUUCGGUGUGAAAUCUCCCGGCUUAACUGGGAGAGUGCGCCGAAGACUGGGAAGCUGGAGUGUGGGAAAGGCAGGCGGAAUUCCUGGUGUAGCGGUGAAAUGCGUAGAUAUCAGGAGGAACACCGGCGGUGUAGACGGCUUGCUAGACCAUAACUGACGCUGAGGCACGAAAGCGUGGGUAGCAAACA
This 402-nucleotide ribosomal RNA is filed under the name uncultured bacterium. RNAcentral describes it as "bacterial SSU rRNA". It matches the Rfam family "Bacterial small subunit ribosomal RNA", at positions 355 to 774 of the family's 1533-position model. The record is from RNAcentral.